This 393-nucleotide ribosomal RNA is filed under the name uncultured bacterium. RNAcentral's name for it is "partial 16S ribosomal RNA". It matches the Rfam family "Bacterial small subunit ribosomal RNA", at positions 523 to 918 of the family's 1533-position model. The record is from RNAcentral.
AUACGGAGGAUGCAAGCGUUAUCCGGAUUUAUUGGGUUUAAAGGGUGCGUAGGCGGUUUGCUAAGCGGGAGGUGAAAUGCCGGCGCUCAACGUCGGAAGUGCCUCCCGAACUGGUGGACUGGAAUGACUCUGCCGUGGGAGGAAUGUGUAGUGUAGCGGUGAAAUGCUUAGAGAUUACACAGAACACCGAUUGCGAAGGCAUCUCACGAAGGGUUGAUUGACGCUGAGGCACGAAAGCGUGGGGAUCAAACAGGAUUAGAUACCCUGGUAGUCCACGCAGUAAACGAUGAUUACUAGCUGUUUGCGAUACAAUGUAAGCGGCUGAGCGAAAGCGUUAAGUAAUCCACCUGGGGAGUACGUUCGCAAGAAUGGAACUCAAAGGAAUUGACGGGG